RNAcentral lists this ribosomal RNA (1324 nucleotides) under metagenome. RNAcentral describes it as "bacterial LSU rRNA". It matches the Rfam family "Bacterial large subunit ribosomal RNA", at positions 1561 to 2925 of the family's 2925-position model. The record is from RNAcentral.
AGUGGAUGGGGAGCAACCUAGUUGUGCGUGUGUAAAGGUAGUGCCAAGAAAAGCGGUGAUCAUGAUGAAAAUCAAUUCCCGGUACCCGAAACCGACACAGGUGGGCAAGUAGAGAAUACUAAGGGGCGCGAGGUAACUCUCUCCAAGGAACUCGGCAAAAUGACCCCGUAACUUAGGGAGAAGGGGUGCCACCGAGAGGUGGUCGCAGUGAAGAGGCCCAGGCGACUGUUUAGCAAAAACAUAGGUCUCUGCAAACUCGAAAGAGGAGGUAUAGGGGCUGACGCCUGCCCAGUGCCGGAAGGUUAAAGAAGUUGGUCAGUCUUAGGAUAAAGCUAGCGACUGAAGCCCCGGUGAACGGCGGCCGUAACUAUAACGGUCCUAAGGUAGCGAAAUUCCUUGUCGGGUAAGUUCCGACCCGCACGAAAGGCGUAACGAUCUGGGCGCUGUCUCGGAGAGAGGCUCGGCGAAAUAGGAUUGUCUGUGAAGAUACGGACUACCUGCAUUUGGACAGAAAGACCCUAUGAAGCUUUACUAUAGCUUGGAAUUGUGUUCGGGCUUCCUGUGCGCAGGAUAGGUGGGAGGCGAAGAAGGUAUUCUUGUGGGGAUACUGGAGCCAACGGUGAGAUACCACUCUCAGGAGGCUAGAAUUCUAACUUAAUUAAGGACAGUUUCAGGUGGGUAGUUUGACUGGGGCGGUCGCCUCCAAAAAGGUAACGGAGGCGUACAAAGGUUCCCUCAGACUGGUUGGAAAUCAGUCGCAGAGUGCAAAGGCAGAAGGGAGCUUGACUGCGAGAAGUACAGUUCGAGCAGGGUGGAAACACGGUCUUAGUGAUCCGACGGUGCUGUGUGGAAGGGCCGUCGUUCAACGGAUAAAAGUUACUCUAGGAUAACAGGCUGAUCUCCCCCAAGAGUUCACAUCGACGGGGAGGUUUGGCACCUCGAUGUCGGCUCAUCGCAACCUGGGGCGGAAGUACGUCCCAAGGGUUGGGCUGUUCGCCCAUUAAAGCGGUACGUGAGCUGGGUUCAGAACGUCGUGAGACAGUUCAGUCCAUAUCCGAUGUAGGCGUGAGAAUAUUGAGAGGAGCCUUCCUUAGUACGAGAGGACCGGGAAGGACGCACCGCUGGUGUACCUGUUAUGAUGCCAAUUGUAAACGCAGGGUAGCCAAGUGCGGAGAGGAUAACCGCUGAAAGCAUCUAAGUGGGAAGCCCACCUCAAGAUGAGUAUUCUGGUGUAAGGUCACGGGAAGACGACCCGUAAAUAGGCACGAGGUGGAAGUGCAGAGAUGUAUGAAGCCGAAGUGUACUAAUAGACCGUCGGCUUGAC